This 400-nucleotide transfer-messenger RNA is filed under the name Coxiellaceae. RNAcentral's name for it is "f Coxiellaceae X2 Standard tmRNA". It matches the Rfam family "transfer-messenger RNA". Rfam says of the family: Bacterial tmRNA, also known as 10Sa RNA or SsrA, is named for its dual tRNA and mRNA-like properties. Its role is to liberate the mRNA from a stalled ribosome. The record is from RNAcentral. Lineage: Bacteria; Pseudomonadati; Pseudomonadota; Gammaproteobacteria; Legionellales. RNAcentral also lists the same sequence under 1 other name.
GGGGGCGAUUGGCUUCGACGGUGAUCGUAGGCCAGCGGUGCAUGUCGAGUGGCGCAAUAACGCUCGUAAAACAACCAGUUGCAAAUUUGUAGAUGCAAAUGAUGCAAUCUAUAACGCUGCAGACGCAGUAGGAGUUGCUGCUUAAGCAACCUCUUCUGCAGCCGCCUAAAAAACGGCAACAGCCUACUCUCAGGUCCGCUUAUCGGUUUGAGUCAGUAGUCAGAUAGGUAAGAUCGUCAUGUUGUUGUGGCCCAUGGCAACGUGAUUAAAACACAGGGCUCGCUGUGUGCUAAGCCCGACUGCUGGCGUACACACAGUUAAAACCAAAUGCAGCUCUAAGCAUGUAGAGCCAAUGGAUGAAAAUUAUCGGACGCGGGUUCAAUUCCCGCCGCCUCCACAU